Dreissena polymorpha is the source of this 1337-nucleotide long non-coding RNA. RefSeq lists it as uncharacterized. The record is from RefSeq and is a predicted model, not a curated record. The transcript has 3 exons. NCBI's taxonomy places the organism in Eukaryota, Metazoa, Mollusca, Bivalvia, Myida, Dreissenidae.
UGAACUUUCUUAUACUGAUAUUUAUACCCUAAUACAAUUAAUGUCUACCACAUUGACCAUAAACAUACAUUUUAAAAGGCAAUUAAAAUAAUAUUAAUACUAUUAAUAUUAUUUGCUAAAACCAUUCAGCAUGUUAUAUUUAAAUAUUUACAAUUAAAUAUAAUGUGUUAAGGGUGCUGUGUAUUAUUCAAUAAAUAUUUUGGUGUUGAAAUGACUGCCUUAUCAGUAUUUCUCAAAUUAUGCAAUUUUUGGCUUAGACACAGCAUGGUAUCAGAUAAGAGAAUAGCCAGUCCCUAUCAGUCCUCCAUCUAAGCCUAACUAAGGGGUGUUGAUAUACUUUUGAUUUGUUCAGGCACCAUCUAUUUGAGAACACAGAUAGGAAGUUAUUUUUUGAAAACAAGCAGCAUCAGCAACUGACUUUAAGCUAGAAUUAAGACUUAUUAUUCUAGUGUAAAAUGUCUUGAAAUACUUUCAGCAUGAAGUAUUGUGUGAUGAAAAAAAUGUGUAUUUACUACAAUGUGUAAAUCAACAAUAAAGGAGAUUAAAAGUGGGUGGUUAAAGACAUAUAAAGUGAUAUGGUCUAGUUCAACAACUGCCUGUAUUUUUGGAAUACUGAAGAACAGUCUGUUGUAACAGGUUAAACCCCAUGGAAAGAAUGUGCAUCAUCGCAUCGCCUGCCAAAAAAGGGAGCAAAAGAGAGACUACCUGAUGUAUGGACUUGAAUACCAGGUUUUACCCUGCACAAGCUGGCCGACAUGAGGAGAACAGGAGUGGGAAAACCGCGCCCUCUCCUUGACCAAGAAAAGCUGGAUUUGUUUAGAGGACCUGAUCAAAUGAGAUCAUGCACGAGACGCAUCGCGCAAAAGCCAUGACAGUAUAAUAGUUGCAAAGAAGUUUGACCGGCUGGUGGCAGACUUGGAGAGAAAGAUGAGAGCUGCACUCUGCUGCCUCAAAGAAAUGCUGAAAGACCUUGAUUGAUAUGCAUCUUUCUUAUGUAUAUAGCUGUUCGUGUAUAUAUAGUACAUGUUAUUAUAGUAUGCUAUUAUUUUUUGUUUAUUUAUAAUCAAAUUAUGUUUAUAUUUAUUUCAUCAAAUUGCCAUUGAUAUUUAAUUACUCAUGUAUGUUAAAAAAUGUUGGUGUACAUUAAAGUAUAAAAUUGAAUUAUCUUGUAAUUAUUAAAAUACACAAAUGUAUAUGUUUAUAGAAUUAUUGGUUUUUAUUGCAUAUCUGAAUUAAAAAAAACUUUUAACAGCAUAUAAUUGAAUCAACUGUUAAGGCAAAAGAUGCACCUUUAACGCACAUGUGUGCUUUUUGUGAGUGCGUUUUUUGCUGCCAUU